Molecule: ribosomal RNA, 432 nt
Filed under: uncultured bacterium
Lineage: Bacteria
Description: partial 16S ribosomal RNA
Rfam family: Bacterial small subunit ribosomal RNA
Source: RNAcentral
CCUACGGGAGGCAGCAGUAGGGAAUAUUGCACAAUGGAGGAAACUCUGAUGCAGCGACGCCGCGUGAGUGACGAAGGACUUCGGUUCGUAAAGCUCUGUUGCACGGGAAUAUGUACCGUGUGAGGAAGGGUCGGCUAACUUCGUGCCAGCAGCCGCGGUAAGACGAGGGACCCUAGCGUUGUUCGGAAUCAUUGGGCGUAAAGCGGAGGUAGGUGGCUUGGUAAGUCGAGUGUGAAAGCCCAGGGCUCAACCCUGGAAGUGCAUUCGAAACUGCUGAGCUUGAGUGCUAGAGAGGUUACUAGAAUGCCUGGUGUAGUGGUGAAAUACGUAGAUAUCAGGCGGAAUACCGGAGGCGAAGGCGGGUAACUGGCUAGAACUGACACUCAAUUCCGAAAGCGUGGGGAUCAAACAGGAUUAGAUACCCUUGUAGUC